GGGUCUGUAGCUCAGCUGGUUAGAGCACUGUGUUGAUAACGCAGGGUCGUUGGUUCGAGCCCAACUAGACCCACCA
RNAcentral lists this transfer RNA (76 nucleotides) under Staphylococcus epidermidis. RNAcentral describes it as "tRNA-Ile". It matches the Rfam family "tRNA". From Rfam's summary of the family: Transfer RNA (tRNA) molecules are approximately 80 nucleotides in length. Their secondary structure includes four short double-helical elements and three loops (D, anti-codon, and T loops). Further hydrogen bonds mediate the characteristic L-shaped molecular structure. tRNAs have two regions of fundamental functional importance: the anti-codon, which is responsible for specific mRNA codon recognition, and the 3' end, to which the tRNAs corresponding amino acid is attached (by aminoacyl-tRNA synthetases). tRNAs cope with the degeneracy of the genetic code in two manners: having more than one tRNA (with a specific anti-codon) for a particular amino acid; and 'wobble' base-pairing, i.e. permitting non-standard base-pairing at the 3rd anti-codon position. The record is from RNAcentral. RNAcentral also lists the same sequence under 1 other name. Lineage: Bacteria; Bacillati; Bacillota; Bacilli; Caryophanales; Staphylococcaceae.